ACGGGAGGCAGCAGUGGGGAAUAUUGCACAAUGGGCGAAAGCCUGAUGCAGCGACGCCGCGUGAGCGAAGAAGUAUUUCGGUAUGUAAAGCUCUAUCAGCAGGGAUGAUAAUGACGGUACCUGACUGAGAAGCACCGGCUAAAUACGUGCCAGCAGCCGCGGUAAUACGUAUGGUGCAAGCGUUAUCCGGAUUUACUGGGUGUAAAGGGAGCGCAGGCGGUACGGCAAGUCUGAUGUGAAAGCCCGGGGCUCAACCCCGGCACUGCAUUGGAAACUGUCGAACUAGAGUGUCGGAGGGGUAAGUGGAAUUCCUAGUGUAGCGGCGAAAUGCGUAGAUAUUAGGAGGAACACCAGUGGCGAAGGCGGCUUACUGGACGACAACUGACGCUGAGGCUCGAAAGCGUGGGGAGCAAACAGGAUUAGAUACCCUGGUA
This 434-nucleotide ribosomal RNA is filed under the name uncultured Lachnospiraceae bacterium. Its description in RNAcentral is "partial 16S ribosomal RNA". It matches the Rfam family "Bacterial small subunit ribosomal RNA", at positions 341 to 792 of the family's 1533-position model. Lineage: Bacteria; Bacillati; Bacillota; Clostridia; Lachnospirales; Lachnospiraceae. The record is from RNAcentral.